UUUGAACCUUGAUUUUGCAUCCUGAAACUUUGCUGAAGUUGUUUACCAGAUAUAGGUUUUCUAGGUAUAGAAUUUUAUCAUCUGCAAACAGAGAUUGUGUCUCUUGUUUCCAUCCUUAUGCCCAUGUGUACCCAUGUUUAGCAACCACUUAUAUAUGAGCAUAUGCAGUAUUUAUUUCCUAUUUCUGUGUUAGUUUUCUUAGGAUAAUGGCCUCC
Molecule: long non-coding RNA, 215 nt
Filed under: Pan troglodytes (chimpanzee)
Lineage: Eukaryota; Metazoa; Chordata; Mammalia; Primates; Hominidae
Description: long non-coding RNA NONPTRT000651
Source: RNAcentral